GACGAACGCUGGCGGCGUGCUUAACACAUGCAAGUCGAACGGAAAGGCCCUGCUUUUGUGGGGUGCUCGAGUGGCGAACGGGUGAGUAACACGUGAGUAACCUGCCCUUGACUUUGGGAUAACUUCAGGAAACUGGGGCUAAUACCGGAUAGGAGCUCCUGCUGCAUGGUGGGGGUUGGAAAGUUUCGGCGGUUGGGGAUGGACUCGCGGCUUAUCAGCUUGUUGGUGGGGUAGUGGCUUACCAAGGCUUUGACGGGUAGCCGGCCUGAGAGGGUGGCCGGCCACAUUGGGACUGAGAUACGGCCCAGACUCCUACGGUAGGCAGCAGUGGGGAAUAUUGCACAAUGGGCGGAAGCCUGAUGCAGCAACGCCGCGUGCGGGAUGACGGCCUUCAGGUUGUAAACCGCUUUCGCCUGUGACGAAGCGUGAGUGACGGUAAUGGGUAAAGAAGCACCGGCUAACUACGUG
Molecule: ribosomal RNA, 468 nt
Filed under: uncultured bacterium
Lineage: Bacteria
Description: partial 16S ribosomal RNA
Rfam family: Bacterial small subunit ribosomal RNA
Source: RNAcentral